UGCUUCUCAAAACUUUGAUGGUGAAGCCGAAGUCCGUAUGAGUCUUUUGCUUUCUAUCUUCUAACAAGAAAACACUACUUAGGCUUUUAAGAUCGGGUUGUGGUUUAAGUUGUUAUACUCAAUCAUACACAUGACAUCAAGUCAUAUAUGACUCCAAAACACUAACCAAGCUUCUUUGUGCUUCUCAAA
Molecule: small RNA, 189 nt
Filed under: Arabidopsis thaliana (thale cress)
Lineage: Eukaryota; Viridiplantae; Streptophyta; Magnoliopsida; Brassicales; Brassicaceae
Description: ATSL089430
Source: RNAcentral